UACGCAGGCUGGCAAUUAAGUCAGUGGUGAAAUCCCACCGCUCAACGGUGGAACUGCCAUUGAUACUGGUUGUCUUGAGUACAGUAGAGGUAUGCGGAAUGUGACAUGUAGCGGUGAAAUGCAUAGAUAUGUCAUAGAACACCGAUUGCGAAGGCAGCAUACUGGACUGUAACUGACGCUGGGGUACGAAAGCGUGGGGAGCGAACAGGAUUAGAUACCCUGGUAGUCC
Molecule: ribosomal RNA, 229 nt
Filed under: uncultured bacterium
Lineage: Bacteria
Description: partial 16S ribosomal RNA
Rfam family: Bacterial small subunit ribosomal RNA
Source: RNAcentral